Long non-coding RNA from Gossypium raimondii (Peruvian cotton), 660 nucleotides. RefSeq lists it as uncharacterized. The record is from RefSeq and is a predicted model, not a curated record. The transcript has 2 exons. NCBI's taxonomy places the organism in Eukaryota, Viridiplantae, Streptophyta, Magnoliopsida, Malvales, Malvaceae.
UCGAAUAAUCCAGAAAAUAGGUGGACCGGUCGUGCAAAUAUCCCUCCCCACGCCAGAACACGCGGACCUAGCCGCGUCUGGGUCGGGUCAUCGGGUCGCGGCCUAAAACGGCGCCGUUUAAGAGCUACUGAAUCAGGCAAUACGGCGACGUUUCUUCACUCCCCACUUAAGCCAACAUUAGCCCUAUUACUCUAAACAGAAAAGAAAAGAAAAAAGAUAAAGAGAAAAAAAAAACCUAAAAAUCUAAUCUCCUCAUUCAUGAGUCGCGCCGCUUCAGCCCCCCAUUCAUCCGGUCUAAACUCCAAUUACGGCGGAGUGAACCAGGAUGCGGCGUUUCCACCUCUAAGGUACGGCGUACAGAGUUGGGGACGUGGCAUGUACGGCGGCGAAGGCGCGCGCGUACGAAGGCUCGUCAUGUGCGGAGAGAGAGCGAGGGGACGUCACUGCUGCGACGCUGGGAACCCUUGCUGCUAGGGUUUCUGAAUCUUUUUCUGUUUUGGGUUGUAUGAUAGUUGGGCUAGAUGUUGGGUUAAAAGUAAUUUGGGCCACAUUGGGCCCAUGUACUUGGACUGUUCUUAUAUUGGAUUUUUAAAAUUAUUAUUAUUUAUUUGGGUUUUAAUACUAAACAUUUAAAAAAGGACUGCUAUUGGUUUUUAUUUA